UUCCUCGAAAUGGUUUUAGAAGUGUCUUCCAGAUCGAGUAUAACCAUCUUGGAUUGGAAGAAGAAUGCGAGUGUAAAUUCAAGGCAAAGUGCUGCCAUGAUAAGUUCUCAUUUCGAAGCAUAAGAAUUGCUUAUGAUUGCCUAGGAUGCAUACCAUACUGGUUUGUGACGACUUUUUCUUUCGCUUUAAGCUUGAUAGUCUUUGAGGAAUUCGUUUCUUUCUUUUUUCUCUAGGUACUUUUGUACGAAAUCACUCAUAGAAGCAGGCAUUCUAAUCAUCUGGCACUUGACAAGUGUAAGAACGCGACUUGGUAGAUGAUAAUUCUGGAGUAGAAACACUACGGCUUUAAAUUCGAAGCAAACGUGACCUCGUGUUUUCGUGGCUGUCACGACUUAAGAGGAGAGAUUCGCAAAGUGCCAGGUGGAAGUGAUAAGCAUAAGACGUGAGUGCUAAUCCAAGUGAGAUGUCAAUGGAGCAUCAUGGACCGCAAUGGCGUGUCUGUCAUUGCGAGAACCACGACUUUUGGAACACUCCCGUGAUUUACAAAAAAUCGUAACGAAGAGGCUCAUGAAACGCAGUGACACCGCUUAGCCGACGGAACUUUGGAAUGGAUUUUUGACCAUAUCAAGCUCACAGCUCCGUCCGUAAGCGCAUUAUCAUACUCGAAAUACCUCUGGACACGCGACAGCGUCUGUCUCAUCGUGCUUCUCU
Molecule: RNA transcript, 711 nt
Organism: Selaginella moellendorffii
Lineage: Eukaryota; Viridiplantae; Streptophyta; Lycopodiopsida; Selaginellales; Selaginellaceae
Exons: 6
Source: RefSeq, a predicted model, not a curated record